CGUAGAAGGGAAGUAAUAAAAUAAUACAAAUAAAACAUGCAAAUUCUUUUGUCAAGGCUCUCUUCCUCCUCCCUCACAGCUUAAAUACACUCCAAGCCUAAGACGUGUCAUUUAGACUCUGUCUUAUCGACAGACAUGUUCUUCACCUGAGGACGGCUGCUUGCGUUGUGGCCAAAACGUCGUGAAAAUUCUUUUACUAUGUUUUAUUUUUAUUAUUUUAUUACUUCCCUUCUACGUGAUGACUUUACCGAAAGAACCAAGAGCUGGGGCUUGUGUCCACGGAUGUCGUGCCUGAGAAGAUUCAGGUUUUCCGCCCCCAGGAUUCCAGCGCCUGGUACCCUUGGAGUUGCCGGUUGCGCCGACAGGUUGUGGAUUGGGGUCGAGUGGAGCAGCCGUCACCCACUUCUCCUCCCGUUGGUCUUCUUCCCUGGAGGGGCCGCACCCGUUAGGCGGUCUUCAACGGCAAGCGAGCUGUGCUGUUACGAACCCCGCCACCCGAGUUAGAUUCCCGCUCACGGCCAACGCCACCGGUGACAGCGAUUAUCUGAACCGGUCCCGUGGGACUCCCUCACGACCGGCGUCACCUCUCGGCCGCCGCCUUUGUCUCUCCCAGCCGCCGACAUUCAUCUUCGCCACGUGAAGAACGAACAGCAGAGACUCAAGUGACCCCCCCCACCGCCACCAUCAACCUCCACACACGUCCAGCGCACAUCCCACGUCGGAGAAUGAGGAGGCUUACCGCAGCCUUCGUUCGGAGAGCCGUGAGGCGCUGCAAGGAUGAUGGGUGGUGGUCGCGGGUUGCUCAGGAGAUGGAGUCUGCCUCUUUAAUCCCAUCAAAAAAGUAACCUGCAGUGCCACACCUAUUACCAUCAUUAGGGGAAAGAACGGUGAUCCAAUCUCUGACCCCCAGGGACAGGUUUGCAGAUUUGCUGAGCAUUUCUGUGAGGUCCUAGGGGAGGGGAAAUCCCUCAGCCAGGAAAACAACGUGGGACAAAGUGGGGAUGGCCCUGCUGAGGCUGCGGUGCCUCAAGCAUUGGAGGAGGGAGUCAUCCCCUGCGAGUGGCUGGCUGAGGUGCCAUCUGUUGAGGAAGUACUGAGGGCGAUCCAGAGUCUGAGACCAGGAAAGGCACCGGGCAGAGAUGAUCUCCCAAGCGAAAUGCUGAGGGAGGGUGGCGUUUGUGCACAGACUGCCCUACACGACAUCAUAACAACAGUCUGGACCACUGGACGGGUUCCGCAGGAUUGGAAG
Molecule: long non-coding RNA, 1249 nt
Organism: Lethenteron reissneri (Far Eastern brook lamprey)
Lineage: Eukaryota; Metazoa; Chordata; Hyperoartia; Petromyzontiformes; Petromyzontidae
Source: RefSeq, a predicted model, not a curated record